GAUUGAACGCUGGCGGCAUGCCUUACACAUGCAAGUCGAACGGCAGCACGGGAGCAAUCCUGGUGGCGAGUGGCGAACGGGUGAGUAAUACAUCGGAACGUGCCCAGUAGGUGGGGAUAGCCCGGCGAAAGCCGGAUUAAUACCGCAUACGACCUGAGGGUGAAAGGCGGGGGAUCGCAAGACCUCGCGCUAUUGGAGCGGCCGAUGUCAGAUUAGCUAGUUGGNGGGGUAAAGGACCUACCAAGGCUACGAUCUGUAGUUGGUCUGAGAGGACGACCAGCCACACUGGGACU
Molecule: ribosomal RNA, 293 nt
Filed under: uncultured bacterium
Lineage: Bacteria
Description: partial 16S ribosomal RNA
Rfam family: Bacterial small subunit ribosomal RNA
Source: RNAcentral